CUUCCCGUAGGGUGAACCUGCGGAAGGAUCAUUACUAAGCGGGAUCAGGCUCCGGCCCGAUCCUCCCACCCUUUGUGUACCCACCUCUGUUGCUUUGGCGGGCCGCGGUCCUCCGCGGCCGCCCUCCGUCCGGGGGGUGGCCAGCGCCCGCCAGAGGACCAUCGAACUCCGGUCAGUGAACGUUGCCGUCUGAAAAACAAUCAAUAAACUAAAACUUUCAACAACGGAUCUCUUGGUUCUGGCAUCGAUGAAGAACGCAGCGAAAUGCGAUAAGUAAUGUGAAUUGCAGAAUUCAGUGAAUCAUCGAAUCUUUGAACGCACAUUGCGCCCCUCGGUAUUCCGAGGGGCAUGCCUGUUCGAGCGUCAUUACAACCCUCAAGCUCUGCUUGGUGUUGGGCACCGCCCUUCCGCGGGCGCGCCUCAAAGACCUCGGCGGUGGCGUCUUGCCUCGAGCGUAGUAGAAAACACCUCGCUUUGGAGCGCACGGCGCCGCCCGCCGGACGAACCUUUUGAACUUUCUCAAGGUUGACCUCGGAUCAGGUAGGGAUACCCGCUGAACUUAAGCAUAUCAAAAGGCCGGAGGAA
Molecule: ribosomal RNA, 585 nt
Filed under: Neoscytalidium dimidiatum
Lineage: Eukaryota; Fungi; Ascomycota; Dothideomycetes; Botryosphaeriales; Botryosphaeriaceae
Description: eukaryotic LSU rRNA
Rfam family: 5.8S ribosomal RNA (bases 213-366)
Source: RNAcentral